CUCUGCCGCCCGCUCCGCCGCCCGCGCAGCCCCGGCGGCUCCGGGCGCGACUUCGUCCGUCCCGCUGCGCUCGGAACGGGAGCCGCCGGGGCAGGGUUUGGGCAAAAUGCGCGUUUAUCAGGAUCUAGAGAAGUUAAGAAACUUAAUUGUCAAAAGCGACUAAUUAAGAUCACUUUCCACUCUGCUGUGCUGCUGACUGUGACCUUCAAGCUGUUCCCAAACAUAUCAAACCAGGGCACCAACUGAAGUUUGGCAAGUCAUCUGCAAGCAUUUUGGGUACCCCUAUAUAAUAUCUCAGGUAAGUAUUAUGAGUUAACUGUAUCAGAUUAAAGAAAACAUGCCCACAUGAUAUUAUGCAAUACAGGCAGACAGAGCAUGUAACUGACUCUUUAAGAAUAAAUAACUAACUCACCAUAAAUGCUGAGCUCUAAGAGGUUCUUUUAAUGCUUUUACAGAACAUGCUUUAAAAAAUAUAGGCAGACAGUUUAGAAAUGGUUUUUCUGACUGAAGGUGCUGUCCCACUAGUGUUUGGUGUAACAUGACAAUUUCCAAAAAAGGACACUCAGAACUCUAAAAGUAAAAUUGACAUGCACUUGCAGUAAACAUACAAAUAUCUUUAACCAUAAUCUCAUAUGUGAAAUAUAGUUUAAGUUACUUAGAAUAUUCUUACACUACACUGGUAAAGUGUUUACUAUAUAAUUUUUCUACAAGACGUGUACAUAUACCAGAAAUCUUAAGCCACACAGGCAUCAUCAACAGCUUAUCACACAUACAUGAUGCUUCUCCCUUUCACACAAGUUUAUAUACACUGAGUAAAUAAUUGAAUAUUGCACUUAUUGGCCCAUGAUUCCUCAGUCUUGAGGUAUUAAAAAAUAGAAAAAAUACCUAUUUUAUAACAUUUUUUUCAUGCAACAUGUAAGACAUUUGAAAUCCACGAACACUAGUAUAUAGGUUACACAUUGUGACAGUCCAACCGAGUCACAACACAUCUGACACUACUGACAAAAUACCAAACAGGACUUACAGCACAAACAUUUCAUAUAUCACUAGUUGCAUGUACAUGUCAGAAUUACUCGAGGAAAUCUAUCACCAGAAGUGGUAAACAAUCUCUAACUUUCAUUUUUGUCUGUUAUGGGUGAACAUGAAGUUAUAGGAAAAUUAGGAGUUUUGCUUCCCCCAUGGAUCAGAUACCAAGUACCUUCAAGUACCUUAUUGUACAAAUGACAAGCCAUCUACCUCUGCUGGAACCAUGGAAAAUAAACUAUGAUCUUCAAAUGUAAUGCAUUUGAUUUCCAGUGGUAAUGACAAUUUAAGGAUAAAUUUGGGAAAGGUGGCACUGAAUAUGAACAUGUAACAUUGGGAAAUGAAUGAGUAUCAAAGAUGUACUACUGUGUAUAUGUGUAUAUAAUAUGUCUGUAAUCAUAAAUUCUGCUUCACUGAACAUCCAUGGAUAAACAAAAGGAAAAAAAAAAAACAAAGGUUAAUUUGCAAAGGUGAACUACAUUUACCCCUGAAUAAAACUGGUAGAGUUCUUUCAAAUAAUUGAAAUGAGUUGCAUUUUUAAAUGAGACUUGACAAGUGAUCAACCUUGGAGAAUCCGGAGUCAGAAUGUAUGGAUUAAUGGUGCAAAUUAACACAACUUAUUCCCCAUUGCAUUAAGUUGCAUUAAGAUAUGUUGCUUUACACCCCCUGACGGUUUAUCUAAAAGGCUUCAAACUCAUAGUCUCACAUUGCUAAAUCUCUCAAGCUAAAGAAGAAUUAUACAUUGUGAGUCUGUAUGAAACAGGCCAAGGAGGAAUCAUUCUGCCAUCAGAACUGAAAUUUAGUUGAUGCCUGUAAAAAUGUAAAUAAAAAAACUUACUUCUAAAAAAACGAAUGAAGAAAAAAAUAGCUGGGUGGGGUGAAGUUUGGAAGGGGGCUUCUCUAGGAAUGCAAUUGCAACAUCAUUUGUCUGCUCUGAAGAAACAAAUGUAUAACCACCAAACGUAGAAUUUUUGUGACUUUUUUUUCCUAAAAAUGGCAAACUCAAAGCAUUCUCAAAGUUAGGAUCAAACUCCAGCAAAUUUUGUGCAUCCUGAAAUAGCAUUUCAUUUCUAAAAAAAAAAAAAGGGGCAGGUGGUACAGCUGAAUAUAAAGAGCUGAGAAGACAGGCAAGAAAACUUAAUCUUUUAGACUGGUGCUCUGGAAAAGGCCACAUAGAUGUAGUUGCUCAGGUGAUUUCUCUAGGCAUUACAUUAAGUAUAAGCACAAAGGAACAAACAGUUCCAGGUAACAGUCACUUACACAGCUGUUCAGAGAGAAAGAGUAUUUUUUGACAGAAAAUUAGGCUAGUUCACAUGUAUUUAAAACACCAAAUGAACAAAUCUAAAUAAACUAACCACCACCACCAAAAAUAACAGAUACAGUAUUAAGUCAGUUGCACUUGUAACUUGUGAACAUGAACUCUUAAAAGAAUCAAAAACAUGCAUCUGAAGGUUCAACCCAGCAGGGCUGGCUAGCUGUUCAGCAGGUUGGUGCCAGAGACACCACAGGAACCAGUCAAUCCCAUGCUCCUGGGUGCUCCCAAGGUAUUUUCUGAUCAGUAGCUUGAAGGUGCAGGAAGCAACACAUUGUCAGAGCAUGAUAAGGCUGGUGCAUUGCUCAUGCACAGGAUUAGCCUGCUGCUAUAAGCUUUAGUCUAGAUCAUAACUCGGAAAAUGGAUUGUGUAGUAUAUUA
This 2716-nucleotide long non-coding RNA is filed under the name Corvus moneduloides (New Caledonian crow). RNAcentral's name for it is "lncRNA (ENSCMUG00000019701.1)". Lineage: Eukaryota; Metazoa; Chordata; Aves; Passeriformes; Corvidae. The record is from RNAcentral.